This 449-nucleotide ribosomal RNA is filed under the name uncultured bacterium. Its description in RNAcentral is "partial 16S ribosomal RNA". It matches the Rfam family "Bacterial small subunit ribosomal RNA", at positions 29 to 523 of the family's 1533-position model. The record is from RNAcentral.
AACGAACGCUGGCGGCAUGCCUAACACAUGCAAGUCGAACGAAGGCUUCGGCCUUAGUGGCGCACGGGUGCGUAACGCGUGGGAAUCUGCCCCUCGGUUCGGAAUAACAGUUAGAAAUGACUGCUAAUACCGGAUGAUGACUUCGGUCCAAAGAUUUAUCGCCGAGGGAUGAGCCCGCGUAAGAUUAGGUAGUUGGUGGGGUAAAGGCCUACCAAGCCGACGAUCUUUAGCUGGUCUGAGAGGAUGAUCAGCCACACUGGGACUGAGACACAGACCAGACUCCUACGGGAGGCAGCAGUGGGGAAUAUUGGACAAUGGGCGAAAGCCUGAUCCAGCAAUGCCGCGUGAGUGAUGAAGGCCUUAGGGUUGUAAAGCUCUUUUACCAGGGAUGAUAAUGACAGUACCUGGAGAAUAAGCUCCGGCUAACUCCGUGCCAGCCGCCGCCGUAA